This 253-nucleotide ribosomal RNA is filed under the name uncultured bacterium. RNAcentral describes it as "partial 16S ribosomal RNA". It matches the Rfam family "Bacterial small subunit ribosomal RNA", at positions 524 to 776 of the family's 1533-position model. The record is from RNAcentral.
UACGGAGGAUGCAAGCGUUAUCCGGAUUCAUUGGGUUUAAAGGGUGCGCAGGCGGAUUGGUAAGUCAGUGGUGAAAUACAACAGCUUAACUGUUGCCCUGCCAUUGAUACUGUCAGUCUAGAGUAUAGUUGGAGUGGGCGGAAUGUGUCAUGUAGCGGUGAAAUGCUUAGAUAUGACACAGAACACCGAUCGCGAAGGCAGCUCACUAAACUAAAACUGACGCUCAUGCACGAAAGCGUGGGGAUCAAACAGG